This 761-nucleotide ribosomal RNA is filed under the name uncultured bacterium. Its description in RNAcentral is "bacterial SSU rRNA". It matches the Rfam family "Bacterial small subunit ribosomal RNA", at positions 15 to 745 of the family's 1533-position model. The record is from RNAcentral.
GAUCCUGGCUCAGGACGAACGCCUGGCGGCGUGCUUAACACAUGCAAGUCGAACGGAGAUAUUAAUGAAGCUUGCGAUUUAAUAUCUUAGUGGCGGACGGGUGAGUAACGCGUGAGCAACCUACCCAUAAGAGGGGGAUAACAGUUGGAAACGACUGCUAAUACCGCAUAAGCUGGUUGAGACACAUGUUUUAAUCAGUAAAGAUGGCCUCUGAAUAUGCUAUCACUUAUGGAUGGGCUCGCGUCUGAUUAGCUAGUUGGUAGGGUAAUGGCCUACCAAGGCAACGAUGGUUAGCUGGUCUGAGAGGAUGAUCAGCCACACUGGAACUGAGACACGGUCCAGACUCCUACGGGAGGCAGCAGUGAGGAAUAUUGCGCAAUGGGGGAAACCCUGACGCAGCAACGCCGCGUGAGUGAGGAAGGUUUUCGGACCGUAAAGCUCUGUCGAGCGGGAAGAAAUGCAUAAUGGCUAAUAUCCAUUGUGCUUGACGGUACCGCUAAAGGAAGCACCGGCUAACUCCGUGCCAGCAGCCGCGGUAAUACGGGGGGUGCUAGCGUUGUUCGGAAUCAUUGGGCGUAAAGAGCGUGUAGGCGGCUGGAUAAGUCAGAUGUGAAAGCCCUGGGCUUAACCCAGGAAGUGCAUUUGAAACUGUUCAGCUUGAGUAGGGGAGAGGAAAGUGGAAUUCCUGGUGUAGAGGUGAAAUUCGUAGAUAUCAGGAGGAACACCGGUGGCGAAGGCGACUUUCUGGCCCUAUACUGACG